This 253-nucleotide ribosomal RNA is filed under the name uncultured bacterium. RNAcentral's name for it is "partial 16S ribosomal RNA". It matches the Rfam family "Bacterial small subunit ribosomal RNA", at positions 524 to 776 of the family's 1533-position model. The record is from RNAcentral.
UACGGGGGGGGCAAGCGUUGUUCGGAAUUACUGGGCGUAAAGGGCUCGUAGGCGGCCAACUAAGUCAGACGUGAAAUCCCUCGGCUUAACCGGGGAACUGCGUCUGAUACUGGAUGGCUUGAGUUUGGGAGAGGGAUGCGGAAUUCCAGGUGUAGCGGUGAAAUGCGUAGAUAUCAGGAGGAACACCGGUGGUGUAGACGGCUCUCUGGACCGUAACUGACGCUGAGACACGAAAGCGUGGGUAGCAAACAGG